RNAcentral lists this ribosomal RNA (373 nucleotides) under uncultured organism. RNAcentral describes it as "partial 16S ribosomal RNA". It matches the Rfam family "Bacterial small subunit ribosomal RNA", at positions 527 to 896 of the family's 1533-position model. The record is from RNAcentral.
GUAGGUGGCAAGCGUUGUCCGGAAUUAUUGGGCGUAAAGCGCGCGCAGGCGGUCCUUUAAGUCUGAUGUGAAAGCCCACGGCUCAACCGUGGAGGGUCAUUGGAAACUGGGGGACUUGAGUACAGAAGAGGAAAGCGGAAUUCCAAGUGUAGCGGUGAAAUGCGUAGAGAUUUGGAGGAACACCAGUGGCGAAGGCGGCUUUCUGGUCUGUAACUGACGCUGAGGCGCGAAAGCGUGGGGAGCAAACAGGGAUUAGAUACCCUGGUAGUCCACGCCGUAAACGAUGAGUGCUAAGUGUUAGGGGGUUUCCCGCCCCCUUAGUGCUGCAGCUAACGCAUUAAGCACUCCGCCUGGGGAUACGGCCGCAAGGCUG